This is a long non-coding RNA of Gopherus flavomarginatus (Mexican gopher tortoise), 465 nucleotides long. RefSeq lists it as uncharacterized. Lineage: Eukaryota; Metazoa; Chordata; Testudines; Testudinidae. The transcript is spliced from 2 exons. The record is from RefSeq and is a predicted model, not a curated record.
GCGACGCCACGGUUGGGGGGGCGGGGUCUUGGGUGACGCCACACUCGGGGGGGCCGCGCUCUUUGUUUUCACUUGGGGCGGCAAAAAUGUUAGAGCCGGCCCUGCCUCAUGAAGAACCCUGAUGAGUGUGAUGGCCUCUCAUUGUCCACCCCCCCAAAGUUGGAAGACGACAUGGCUUGGGGGAGUCACCAGCGGACAAGGUGAACGGGAAAGACGUCGCUCAGCUCGACGAUGCCUUUCAAGAGGCCUUUGAGAACUUACACAUCGGUAGCCCUGUCGUUCAUCAGCUGUUUUUGUUCCUGUCUGAGACGCAGAUCUCAAGAGGAAAAUCCGGAAAAGGACAAAAUAGAAAAAUGUACCAGAUCAGAGUCCCUCAUUGUAAGGGUUAUGGUGUCCAUUUUUACAGACAGCUGUCAAAGGUUGUGUUAAACCAGGCAAUUAAUUAAACUUAUUUAAAUGUGUCCA